RNAcentral lists this ribosomal RNA (253 nucleotides) under uncultured bacterium. RNAcentral's name for it is "partial 16S ribosomal RNA". It matches the Rfam family "Bacterial small subunit ribosomal RNA", at positions 524 to 776 of the family's 1533-position model. The record is from RNAcentral.
UACAGAGGGGGCAAGCGUUGUUCGGAAUUACUGGGCGUAAAGGGCGCGUAGGCGGCCUGCUAAGUCGAACGUGAAAUCCCCGAGCUCAACUCGGGAACUGCGUCCGAUACUGGCAGGCUUGAAUCCGGGAGAGGGAUGUGGAAUUCCAGGUGUAGCGGUGAAAUGCGUAGAUAUCUGGAGGAACACCGGUGGCGAAGGCGACAUCCUGGACCGGUAUUGACGCUGAGGCGCGAAAGCCAGGGGAGCAAACGGG